Molecule: ribosomal RNA, 488 nt
Filed under: uncultured bacterium
Lineage: Bacteria
Description: partial 16S ribosomal RNA
Rfam family: Bacterial small subunit ribosomal RNA
Source: RNAcentral
AACGAACGCUGGCGGCGUGGAUAAGACAUGCAAGUCGAACGGGGAUAAGUUUGUAGUAAUACACGCUUAUUCCAGUGGCGAACGGGUGCGUAACACGUGAGCAAUCUGCCGGGAAGUGGGGGAUAGCUCGCCGAAAGGCGAAUUAAUACCGCAUGUGGCCAAGGAGGACAUCCUCCUGACGCCAAAGUCGCAAGACGCUUCCUGAUGAGCUCGCGGCCUAUCAGCUAGUUGGUGAGGUAAUGGCUCACCAAGGCUAUGACGGGUAGCUGGUCUGAGAGGACGACCAGCCACACUAGAACUGAGACACGGUCCAGACACCUACGGGUGGCAGCGGUCGAGAAUGUUUCACAAUGGGGGAAACCCUGAUGGAGCGACGCCGCGUGGAGGAUGAAGGUCUUCGGAUUGUAAACUCCUGUCAUGCGGGAACAAGAAAGUGAUAGUACCGCAAGAGGAAGAGACGGCUAACUCUGUGCCAGCCGCCGCAGUAA